GGAGAGGGCGCAAACUGGAUAGCGUGGCAGCCUCCUAAGCUGUAAGUCGUGGGUUCAAAUCCCACCGGGCUCGCCA
RNAcentral lists this transfer RNA (76 nucleotides) under Candidatus Bathyarchaeota archaeon. RNAcentral's name for it is "tRNA-Arg". The stretch from base 7 to 65 matches the Rfam family "tRNA", at positions 9 to 63 of the family's 71-position model. Rfam says of the family: Transfer RNA (tRNA) molecules are approximately 80 nucleotides in length. Lineage: Archaea; Thermoproteati; Candidatus Bathyarchaeota. The record is from RNAcentral.